This 352-nucleotide small RNA is filed under the name Pan troglodytes (chimpanzee). RNAcentral's name for it is "processed transcript". The record is from RNAcentral. Lineage: Eukaryota; Metazoa; Chordata; Mammalia; Primates; Hominidae.
UAUGGUACAGCAAAGGCCAAACAGCUACCAGGAGGCAACCUGAACGUGUCAGGGCCUGGGCACGACACUUGCCUUUCUUGGAGGAGUGAUUUGAAGCCAUAGUGGAAGACUGAGCCUCUAUAAAAAAUGAACGAGGACACUCUUAAUGGACAGAUACAAAACAAGCCCCAGGAGAAAGGUGUAUCAACCAUUUUAAAUCUGCCCUCAAAAGCACAGAACAAAUCAGACGGCAUUUUGCUCACAGAGGAGAGGGUCUAUGAGAACCAAAUUCCAGCUUCAGCACAUGGCCUUGGGUACAGCUACAAGAUGGAGGAAGCUAUUUGACCUGCCUCAGACUUUACGUGAACAAAAG